This 253-nucleotide ribosomal RNA is filed under the name uncultured bacterium. Its description in RNAcentral is "partial 16S ribosomal RNA". It matches the Rfam family "Bacterial small subunit ribosomal RNA", at positions 524 to 776 of the family's 1533-position model. The record is from RNAcentral.
UACGAAGGGGGCGAGCGUUAUUCGGAAUCACUGGGCGUAAAGCGUGCGUAGGCUGUUUUACAAGUUGGGAGUGAAAGCCCAGGGCUCAACCCUGGAAUUGCUCUCAAAACUGUAAGACUCGAGUCCGGGAGAGGAUAGCGGAAUUUCCAGUGUAGUAGUGAAAUACGUAGAUAUUGGAAGGAACACCAGUGGCGCAAGCGGCUAUCUGGACCGGUACUGACGCUGAGGCACGAAAGCGUGGGGAGCAAACAGG